RNAcentral lists this ribosomal RNA (3230 nucleotides) under Pelobates cultripes (western spadefoot toad). Its description in RNAcentral is "LSU_rRNA_eukarya". It matches the Rfam family "Eukaryotic large subunit ribosomal RNA", at positions 24 to 2397 of the family's 3401-position model. The record is from RNAcentral. Lineage: Eukaryota; Metazoa; Chordata; Amphibia; Anura; Pelobatidae.
CCAACUGUAUCUAAGCAUAUUACUAAGUUGAGGAAAAUAAACUAACUGGGACUCUCCCAUUAACAGCUAGGUAAAAACCCUGUGCUGGAAAACUUGAAAAGAACUUUGAAGAAAAAGAUUAACAGAGCAUGGGUGUGGUCCAUGUUGUCCACUCAGAAGAUUCAAACUGAAAAAUGCCACCACCCUCUCCCAUCUCCUGGGGCAGAGGGAGUCUAUCACCUCUGUGCCUACCUGUCACAUCCUGUUCCUAGCUGCGGAUCAUUCUGGCAAUGGCUUCUGGUAUCCAGUACUCUUUUUACAAUUCUUGUUUAGUUUUUCUUGGUUUUUCUGGUUUUCUAUUCUAUGUCUGGUUUUCUUUAUGCUGGGGUUCUGGGUUCAUUCCUUUUAUUAGGUUCCUGGAAUUCCCAGUCUCCAGGAUUCAUUUAAAUGUUUGUUUUAUGUUGCCACACCCGUUUUUCAUCAUUCCUUUUGUUUCAGUGUUCCUGCAGGCAACUGCUCAAGUCUUCUGCCCUUUCUUGCAGGUAAGUACUAUGUGUGUUUUCUUUGGUUGGUUUAGCUUGCAUUAGGCAGAGUAGGACCUGCCAGAUAUGCCUAUUGUGACGAGAGCAACAUUGCAUUAGAGAAGCCUGGUUCCUCGCCUGUUGCCUUUAGACUAUGGCCCCAUGUUAAAAGACAUCUUUUUUUUACCUGCAGAAAAGAUUUAUUCGUUCUUUUCUGCCUGGUGUUCGGUAGAUUCAAUCUACCGAACAACUGCACGAAUGACUGGACCACCUGGUAGCUGGAGUGUGCCGGCAAUUAGCCUCCCUGAAGCUGCAGUUAACCGCAGCUUAAUUGACGAAUGCUGGGUGGCCACCAUUCGUAUCACGAACACUAAGUCGCGGCCAUUUUAAACACGCGAACGCACAGCGGUGUUCGACGUUUAAUUCAUGGAACUGAAAUUGGACACAGUUUUGCGCAAACACCGCUAAAGCCGCCGACCUCCCUUCUUGUUCGGUGAAAGUGCACGAACGGCCUGGUGUUCAGUAGUUUUGUUUGAAUGUGUUAUACCCCAGAUAGGAAUCCCAUGGAGCCCAUUCGCAUGAAACUGACUGUGUAAAGACUUUGGCUUCAUGGCAAUUAAACUGUAUUCAUGUGGUCUGAGCGCCAUUCACUUAAUAAUGUGCUCUCACACCUGAGCUAUCUGGGGAUAUGUUAAAUGUAUGCUUUUAAUGUUAUGUGUCUCACAUAGUGCAUUUUAAUAUUAAUUCCUGUGUUAGUAUCCCCACGUGCAUAAUGGCGAUUUGCCUUUGUCUUGGGAGAUAAUUGAAUUACUUCUCAAUUAUCUUCAGGGCAGAGGGGAGGAAGCCAGGAUGCAUUGUGGGAAUAUAAUGUGACUGUGUGUUCUAUUUGUCUACUUGUCUGUCCCUUGUCACAGUCUCCCAUUUGGUCCCCUAGGGGACUGUCCAACAGGUGGGAGACCUGCAUAAAUAGGUAGCCCUCAUUAAACAGACCACUGCUUGACCCUCAACACGGAGCCUUGUCUCGUCUUUGGGGGGAUUUACUGAAUGCUGAUAGAGACUGAUUGCUAGGAGUGUAAGCCGCUUGGAUGCUUUUCUUAUUCGUCUGCUAGCAGCGAUUCGUAUGGUCCCAGUUCGUGUGUUUGGAGUGCUAUAUUGGAUGCCGUUCUGGAGUUUGGAGCAUUCCCUUAUUGGCGGUUUGUGAGUUUGGUGUUUUAUAAUAGCUGUGGCUGCAUCUCUGAGAAGGGGGCGAUCGCCUAAACGUUUUUUAACCUCUUGUGUGCCGAAAUGGUCCGUUACACCCAUCAUAUCUUGUCUUGUUUUAGUUUGUAUUCCCAGCCCAUGUACAGUCCUGUCCAGUCCUGCCCAUGUUAUGUCAAUGUUUCCCUUAUGUAUUGUGUACAUGUUCUGGGUUUAGCUUCCUAUCCUUCUCUGGUUCUGGGUUCUAUUGGUUCUGUCUUGUUUUUCAUGUUUGGUGACUAUCCUAGUUUUUCCUUGUUUCAGUACUGGAUACAUUCUUGCUGCAGUACCUCCCUAUUCAGCUCUGGGAGGUCUGCUUAAUUCCUGCUCCUAGUUCCUGGGAUCCGCAUAAGCUGGAUCAGGGUUCUGGUAUGUGGCUGUACAAACGCUGGUGCUCAACACCACGGGGCAUGCGGUUACCCUGCACCAGACCCUGCUAAUCCACCACCACACUGUGACUCCUACUCUGAACAUCAGGCAUACUGGGUUCCGGUCCUCGCACCGCCACCCGGACAGUGUCUGGGUCCCGGGCACUGGACUGCCACCCUGACACUACCUCUGUCAACUCAUCCUGCUAUUCCCUGUUCCCCUGCUCUGUGAGCACCAGCCACUUUACCAACAAGAUGAGAGCCAUUGGUCCACAGUCAUCUUGCAGGCUUAUCCGACCUGCUUUGAAACAAAGACCAAGGAGUCAACACGUGCAUGAGUACAAUGAAGGUGAGAGCUGGGGUGCCCUGACCAAAGUAGGUUACCUCCACCCCACAUGACAUUUACCGCAGCACCGGGCCAUCUCCCCAGACCUGUACAGGUGGUGGAACAUGAGCAUGCAUUAUAGGACCUGUGAAAUUGUGAAAUAUGCCUGUGCAGGGCAAAGCUGAAGGUGGUUGGCAGUGUCCUACCUGGAUAUAGGUGGGAAUGACUAUUCAUCACGAUAGCUGGUGCUUACUUAUUCUCCGUUUUAUUCAGUAAAGCAGAUGAUUAGAGGUAUUGGCACCAAAACAAUCUCAACCCAUUCUCAAAAUGUAAUUGGGUCAUAUGCCUGGCUCACUGGCUUGAAGGCAUGGUGGAAUGUGAGCCAUGUUUGGUGGGCAAAUCUGGCACUUUUAAAUACCCAAUGUCAAUGUUCAUAAGAUUCCCCCAAAAAGGUUAUUUGAUAUAGAUAGCAGGACAGUAGCUAUGGAAGUAGGACAUAAUAAUGAGUGUGUAAGGAAAACUCUGCCAAAUCAGCCUAUAUGCUGACUUACAACUGCUUCAGACAGGGGGAAUCUGUUUUAAUUAAAACAAAGAAUGGUGAAGACCUGAUGCAGGUGUUGACAUGAUUUCUGCCGAGUGUCAAAGCAAUGCAAAGAAAUUCAGUGAAGUUCUGGUAAACAGUAACUAUGAUAUAAUAGCCAAAAGCCUUAUUAUCUGGUUGCACACAUAAAUGGAUGAAUGCUAUUCCAACUGUCCCUACCUAUUAUCAAAUGAAACCAGAGCCAAGAGUGGUGGAAUCAG